CAGGUCUUGACAUCCUUCUGACCGUCCUAGAGAUAGGGCUUCCCUUCGGGGCAGAAGAGACAGGUGGUGCAUGGUUGUCGUCAGCUCGGGUAGUGAGAUGUUGGGUUAAGUCCCGCAACGAGCGCAACCCUUAACUUUAGUUACCAGCACGUUAUGGUGGGCACUCUAAGGAGACUGCCGGUGACAAACCGGAGGAAGGUGGGGAUGACGUCAAGUCAUCAUGGCCCUUACGGCCUGGGCUACACACGUGCCACAAUGGUCGGUACAGAGGGUUGCCAAGCCGCGAGGUGGAGCUAAUCCCACAAAACCGAUCGUAGUCCGGAUCGCAGUCUGCAGCUCGACUGCGUGAAGUCGGAAUCGCUAGUAAUCGCGAAUCAGAAUGUCGCGGUGAAUACGUUCCC
RNAcentral lists this ribosomal RNA (401 nucleotides) under uncultured bacterium. RNAcentral describes it as "bacterial SSU rRNA". It matches the Rfam family "Bacterial small subunit ribosomal RNA", at positions 975 to 1375 of the family's 1533-position model. The record is from RNAcentral.